UUGAUGCAGCCUCUGGUUCUCAACCUGGUAAAGAUGCAAGCCGCAAGCUGUCUUCAACCUCUGGAAGAAAUGCAAGGGAAAAUCAAGAAGCAGAAAAAAGGGGCUACUCAACUGUUGUUUCUUCACCUGGUAAGGCUGAAUCUCCUUGGUUAACACUUAAUUUUAGAGAUUUAUACAUGAUAAUUUGCUGCUCAACUUUAGAUGUCAUUGCUGAUACACUGAGACUGAACCCCCAAAUAAACUGCAAUUAUAAGCUUUGUGGUCUUAUGCUUAGUAACCCUGGUUUAAAAUUUCAUGUGUCUGGGUGUAAAAUGUGCUGGUAUGGUGGCUUGUCCUUCUUAUUACAAAAGUUUAUGCACAUUUGAUAUCGAAUAACACCCAUAUACAGUCUAAAGGUAAUUUAUUUACCUCAAAUGAUAAAUGAUUGACCUUCCUCAAAUCAUAAAUUGCUGACUCAUGUAUCAGCAUGCUUCAUCUGUUCAAGGGAGAGGUGGCUUGUCCUGCUUAUUACAAAAGUUUAUGCAUAUUCAAUAUCAAAUGUCAUCCAUGUGUGCUCUAAAUCUAACAUUGAUACUUAAAAUGAUAAAUGGCUAAUUCACCUUAAAUCAUAAAUGGCCAACUCAUGCUUCAUCUAGUACUUUCACAAGAGCAUUAGUGUUAGAGAGAGAGAGAGAUAGAGCUUAGUACUUUGACACCACCAUCUAGUACUUUCACAUGAGCAUUAGUGUCACAGAGAGAGUGAGAGAGAGCUUCAUCUAGUACUUUGACACCAUCAUCCAUCAUUAGUGAGAGGAAAGAGGUGGAAACCUCAAAUCAUGAAUGGCUGACUCAUGUUUCAUCUAGUACUUUCACACGAGUUAUGGUGCUAGAGAAGGACAACGUAACUUUGGAACACAGAGACUUGAGUAUGACUUUUGAGAAUAUGCCUUUUCUGGAGGCAUUUCACUCUAACUUAUUGACAAACUUGAUCUGAAAGUACACCAAAUUCAGAGGGUGUAAAAACUCUGCCACCAUCUCCUAAUCCCAAUUAAAGAUCCUAGAUCUUGGAUUCGAACAAGCAGUCAUCCCUGCCCUUGCCUCUAAAUAAUACACCACUCAACCAUCUCUAUGAACUGCUAGAGUGAAAAGAGCCGAAAAAGGAUACUUUUAACUUCAUUUCCUCACACCACUGAGCUAUCCGAAAUUUUUUGUUUCAUCCUUACGAAUGGAGAUGCUGGUUCUCACUCGAAAAUCUUCCUAACCUACAUAUUGCUUUCUAGAGGCUGCAAUCAAAAACCUCCCUACAGAUCCUGGAGCACUGACCCCGCCUGCUAUAUCACCAUACUUCCUCCUGAUGUCUCUCCUCUAAAGGCAAUCACGAUCACAAGAAAAUCUCUAUAACCAUUUUCAAGUAACACCUUAUUCAACAGUAAGAGCCUUCUUACCUCUAUGCUUCCUUUGCUCCUCUUGGAGAACACCUUGCCCCACUAGCUACAAGGAUCUCCAUUGGAAGGUUGACUCUCUUAUAGAAACUCUAUCUAAAUUUUCUCCAAUCUGGGUUGCACUUUCUUUGGGAUCACUCAGGAAGACAUGAUGGAAAGGCUAGUAAGGGCAAUUUUUUCUUUAAAAAAAAAAAGCUUGCCACUAUUUGAGAUCAAACUUCUUCCAAGAGGCCAAUCUUUUUUAGAUCUCAUCUCUACUAAAUCCCAAACAACAACAAAUUUUGAAGAGGCUCCCAAAUGCAAACCCAGAUAUAUUGUGGGAAACUAACCCAGUCUACACCCAAAACAUAAGGCUAGUUUCUCAACCGUCUCUACUAACUCUAUUGGAAUAUGCUCACUCUUUUCCAUAUUUAUUUUUAAGCUUGAAACAACUUCAAAACACAUCAACACCUAUCUCGAGUAUAAUAAUUGCUUGCUGGUAGCAUCAAAAAAAAAAAAAAAUGAAAGAAAGCCAGAUCUGUGAAGAGAAUAUGGAAGAUCAAAAGACCACCCUAUUCCCUUCCUUUUAGCUUGAAGUUAUUAAUGAAACCUGUGUCAACUACCCGGUCCAUGUUGCGAAACAAGACUCCUAGUACCAAAAUAAAUAAGUAGGGAGAGAGGUGAUCUCCUUGCCUGGGUCCUCUUGAACUCUGGAAGAUACCAAUUGGAAUCCUAUCCACUAACAUUGAAAAAUGAACUAUAUACAUACAUAAUUUAAUCCAAUCAUUGCAUUUUUCCCCCGAAACACAUACUGUUCAUCACCCAAAAAGGAAGCUUUAGUUCACAUGAUCAUAAGCUUUCUCUUUAUCCAAUUUGCGGGCCAACUCUUCUCUUGGGCUUUUGAUUUUGAAGUCACUAGCCUCAUUUUCAAUCUAACACUGUUCGACAAUUGAAGGCAGGUAGGUUGAAUAAUCUGAAUAAACAAUCAGC
RNAcentral lists this long non-coding RNA (2390 nucleotides) under Vitis vinifera (wine grape). RNAcentral describes it as "long non-coding RNA (VVIN_LNC005995)". The record is from RNAcentral. Lineage: Eukaryota; Viridiplantae; Streptophyta; Magnoliopsida; Vitales; Vitaceae.